This 537-nucleotide ribosomal RNA is filed under the name Tolypocladium cylindrosporum. RNAcentral's name for it is "eukaryotic LSU rRNA". It matches the Rfam family "Eukaryotic large subunit ribosomal RNA", at positions 66 to 626 of the family's 3401-position model. The record is from RNAcentral. Lineage: Eukaryota; Fungi; Ascomycota; Sordariomycetes; Hypocreales; Ophiocordycipitaceae.
CAACAGGGAUUGCCCCAGUAACGGCGAGUGAAGCGGCAACAGCUCAAAUUUGAAAUCUGGCCCCCAGGGCCCGAGUUGUAAUUUGCAGAGGAUGCUUUUGGCGCGGCGCCUUCCGAGUUCCCUGGAACGGGACGCCAUAGAGGGUGAGAGCCCCGUCUGGUCGGACGCCAAGCCAGUGUAAAGCUCCUUCGACGAGUCGAGUAGUUUGGGAAUGCUGCUCUAAAUGGGAGGUAUAUGUCUUCUAAAGCUAAAUAUAGGCCAGAGACCGAUAGCGCACAAGUAGAGUGAUCGAAAGAUGAAAAGCACUUUGAAAAGAGGGUUAAACAGUACGUGAAAUUGUUGAAAGGGAAGCACUUGUGACCAGACUUGGGCCCGGUGAAUCAUCCAGCGUUCUCGCUGGUGCACUUUCGCCGGGCUCAGGCCAGCAUCAGUUCGCCGCGGGGGACAAAAGCUUCGGGAACGUGGCUCCCUCGGGAGUGUUAUAGCCCGUUGCACAAUACCCUGCGGUGGACUGAGGUUCGCGCUCCGCAAGGAUGC